UCCCAAUUGCAAAAGUUUGGUUGAGGUUGAGCUUCCUGGAUUGGAGAGUCUUGAAUGUGUUGAGAUAAGAAAUUGCAGUGGUUUGAGGGUUCCUUGAAUUCAAAAUUGGUUCAAGGUUAGUUAAGUUAAAUAUAUUCCC
Molecule: long non-coding RNA, 139 nt
Organism: Ipomoea nil (Japanese morning glory)
Lineage: Eukaryota; Viridiplantae; Streptophyta; Magnoliopsida; Solanales; Convolvulaceae
Exons: 3
Source: RefSeq, a predicted model, not a curated record